This 369-nucleotide unclassified non-coding RNA is filed under the name uncultured bacterium. RNAcentral describes it as "contains 16S-23S intergenic spacer region". The record is from RNAcentral.
UCCCCGUUAUCCGAGGCGGUCUCCCGUGAACAUUCAACACGGAAUAGGGGUUGCGCUCGUUACCCGACUUAACGGUACAUCUCACGACACGAGCUGACGGCAACCAUGCAGCACCUGUGUAGCACCCUCGAAGGCGGCCACUGUUUCUAGCGGCUUGCAGCUACAUGUCAAACCUUGGUAAGGUUUUUCGCUUACCGUCGAAUUAAACCACAUGCUCCUCUGCUUGUGCGGGUCCCCGUCUAUUCCUUUGAGUUUUAGUCUUGCGACCGUACUCCCCAGGCGGGAUGCUUAAUGCGUUAGCUUUUUUGACCGACACCGGGAGGGUCGAUACUCCCGAUAUCUAGCAUCCAUCGUUUAGGGCGUGGACUA